RNAcentral lists this ribosomal RNA (394 nucleotides) under uncultured Anaeromyxobacter sp. RNAcentral's name for it is "bacterial SSU rRNA". It matches the Rfam family "Bacterial small subunit ribosomal RNA", at positions 67 to 447 of the family's 1533-position model. Lineage: Bacteria; Pseudomonadati; Myxococcota; Myxococcia; Myxococcales; Anaeromyxobacteraceae. The record is from RNAcentral.
CGAGAAAGCCCGCAAGGGUGAGUAAAGCGGCGCACGGGUGCGUAACACGUGGGUAAUCUGCCCUAGAGUCUGGAAUAACUCGCCGAAAGGCGUGCUAAUGCCGGAUGAGACCACGGGAGCCUCGGCUCCUGCGGGAAAAGGUGGCCUCUGUAUACAAGCUAUCGUUCCAGGAUGAGCCCGCGGCCCAUCAGCUCGUUGGCGGGGUAAUGGCCCACCAAGGCUACGACGGGUAGCUGGUCUGAGAGGACGAUCAGCCACACUGGAACUGAGACACGGUCCAGACUCCUACGGGAGGCAGCAGUGGGGAAUCUUGCGCAAUGGGCGAAAGCCUGACGCAGCAACGCCGCGUGUGUGAUGAAGGUCUUCGGAUCGUAAAGCACUGUCGCGAGGGACG